Mustela lutreola (European mink) is the source of this 2731-nucleotide long non-coding RNA. RefSeq lists it as uncharacterized. Lineage: Eukaryota; Metazoa; Chordata; Mammalia; Carnivora; Mustelidae. The transcript is spliced from 2 exons. The record is from RefSeq and is a predicted model, not a curated record.
CUUCCUGCGAGGGCGCCCAGCACAGAGUGGCCGGCAUCCGUCCUGGGGCCUCCACCCAGGCCCCCGAGGGGGCUGAGCUCCUAGAAGCCAGAGACCAGUCUCCUUCCACAUACUUCCUGUCCUCGCCGGCAAACGUCUGUGCAGGAGCUUCAUGCAUCCGGACUCCCCCGCACGCCCUAGGACGGGGUCGCACGGUCCUGGGGUUCCGAAGUGGAAACCGAGGCACAGAGUGGUUCAAACCCAGCGGGUGCGUUCCUCUCAGGACACCUGGGCAGCUGGACACCUGAGCGCCGGCCGUUGCGUGCUGGCGGGGUCUGUGUCUUCGACAAAGUGGCCAGAAGAGGGCACCCGUGCCCUGCGAGGCUGUGCCCCCGGCCCCCACCACCCCACCCCAGCCACAACCCCCACAGGCUUCGGGACCAGGUUGCGGGGUGCUCAGUGGGCAGCAGGGGGCCCCAGGGUGGGGCUGGCUAACCCAGGGGCCUCCUUCAGGGGUUGGAGCCCCAUUGGCCUCCAGCUGUGAGGGCAGCUCCACUUGCUUCCGGGGACCAGGCGGCCACUCUGGGGCAGCGUCCCCCAGGCACAGGGGGCCUCAGGGUCAUCUUCCCCACGGCUGCCCCAUCGGGCUCACGGUUUUCUGCCCACAGCUGCAGCUCUCCAUCCCCCCACCAACGACGACACCACAGUCCCCUCCUCAACCAAGCGGAUCCCCCAAACCUCCUCCUUGGCCGGUGGCGCCUGCCCACUAUGAGCCCCAGGCCGGGGCCUGCCUGUUCUGCUGUGCCCUGAGCGACACGUUCCCUCCCUCUGCCGGGCCCUGGUUGCCCCCCAAGGCCUCGCAGAGGCGGCUCCUUUCGAAGGCCGGUGAGCUCCCCACCCUUCCGGGCUGCCCGGCAGGCAGGCCAGGGACAGUGUCCCAUGUCUGCAGGUCAGUCCCAGGGGUCGGCGUUUGGCCAGGGUCCCCUUGUCUGGUGAAGGGGGGGCCGCGCUGUUUCGGGACGAACCCUGUGUGACCCUCACAGAGCCCCCGGCCCAGACGCAGGUGUCGUGGAGCUCCCGCUUCUCCCUCCGAAGCACAGGGCUCCCUGACCCUCGCAGUCUGCCUCUGCCGGGCGGUGGGGCUGGGGUGGGGCUCGGCCGUUCUCACAGCUUCCAGGAGGGUGAAGAGAACCUUCCAGGCAUUCACACACACACACACACACACAGGCAUGUGCACGCACAUGCACACACUCCAGCACACACACACGCACACUUUCUCUGACAUGCUCAUGCAUGCGCGCACGCACCGUCCUCUCCAGCACGCGCAUGCACACGUGUGCACACUCUCUGGCACACGCGUGCGCACACAGGUGUGUUGGCUCUCCGGUGGGCACAUGCACACGCACACACAUCUGUUUGCAUACGCGCUGCAUAUCGUGGGCUAAUGUGUGUUCCAGUGGCUUCCACGGCAGCAGCCUCUGAGAAAUCCAGUCACAGACCUGGAGGGCGUAAGCCGGAAGGACAGCCCCUACAAUGUCCUGGCGAGGGUACACGUGGGUGGGAAGCUCCAGGGGGUCCCCCGGCAGCUCUGCUGGGAGGGGCGGCAGAGGGCACCUGAGGGGGAUCUGCCUGUGAGUCAGCCUCCCGGACCCGGGGGCGCCUGCAGACCCUGAGACAGGUGCAUUCCCAGGAAACUGGGGGGCACCGUUCUGGGGUCUGCACGUACGUCCUCGUCAUCCGGCUGCAGCCGAGGAGAUACUGUGGCCCCAGGGGGAGCUGAGGAGCCAGGCUCGGGGUGGAGGCCCGUGAUCUCGGGCUGGCUCCAUCGGACUCCCGGACCCACCCGCGCCCUGCUGCGUGGGCACGCUGGUGGCCCUGUGCCCGCACGCGUGCCUGGCUGGAGCUGGUGCUCCUUCCCUGCAGAACGACGCCCUCUCCUGCCCCGCUCAGCUGACGGCGGCCAGGGUGGCUGCCCUGGCCUGAUGUGGGUCCGAGGGACCCCCAUGCCGGGGGCUGGCCCCGAAGGCCUGGGUCUGUUCUGUGCCCUGUAGACACCAGACAGGGUGUGGCCUGCCAGGUCCCUGGUGGGGGGAGUCGUGUCUCCUGCCCCCAGCGUGGGCCUCCCAGGCCCCAGGUCCCGAGGUAGACGUCCAUGAGGACAGGACUCGCCUCCCUCCCUGACCGCCUGUCCCAGCGCCCUCUGGACCCCAGGAAGACCAGCCCGUCCGCCCUCAGUAGCGUCUGGCCCGCUGGCUGGUCAGGACCCCUCAGAACACCAGUGCUCGUUGGUAGACGCUGGAAAUCACACGCGGACGCAGAAAAACAGUGUGAAUGUUUCCUACACUGAAGCAAGGCGGCAAGUCAGGGGGCGGGGAGGGGUCCACACUGGGAAGGGGACGCCCACUCCGGCCCCCUCCCUCCCGCAGGGCACAGGCUGGUCCUCCUGGCACCGCCCCCAGCUGCACCUGGCUGACCCCUACCCGUCCUCAGUCCUCACCGCGAGUCCACGGGGCCCUGGGGAGACGGUCCUGGGUCCUCCCGGGCGGCCAGGGCAGCACCGCAGCCCGGACCACACCCCUGCCUUGCGAGAGUGCACGUCCGGUGGGCUCCACGGCCGCUCCCCCUUCCGUCCACCCCGUGAUCUCUUACCCAUUUCUUCCCCAAAAGGAAACUUAUUUUUGUAUUUUUACCUUUUCUAUAAUGAACAGGUUUUUGAAAACUUAUUUCAUUAAAAUGAUUGAAAAAACAGAAA